Molecule: non-coding RNA, 364 nt
Organism: Xyrichtys novacula (pearly razorfish)
Lineage: Eukaryota; Metazoa; Chordata; Actinopteri; Labriformes; Labridae
Source: the annotation of a GenBank genome assembly
CUGAGACGUCUGUCAGCUCCUCGCAAAGACACAUCGACAACCCCGGUAUUCAGCCAAUAGUUAUUAGUGUUUCAUCUGGAUGUGAUCAAUGGCUGUAAAUCACUCCACAGAGGAGCUGUAUUGAUUUCUGAUUGGUUCUCUCCAUGUGUCGUGUCCUCAUCAUUAACUUCAUGCUCACUUUGUUUCGUCAGGAACAAUCUGCUGAUUCUCCAAAAACCACCUUUUAAUCAGAUUCAAAUAAAAACGCCUGAAACUUUAGAAAUAAGUAAUAAUCUGGAUUAGAAAUUAAAAGGAUAAAGAUCACACAGCUCUAACGAAGGUUGUCUGUUACAAUUUAGUAACGGUCUGUUAUCCUCUAAUAAAG